RNAcentral lists this ribosomal RNA (253 nucleotides) under uncultured bacterium. Its description in RNAcentral is "partial 16S ribosomal RNA". It matches the Rfam family "Bacterial small subunit ribosomal RNA", at positions 524 to 776 of the family's 1533-position model. The record is from RNAcentral.
UACGUAGGGUGCGAGCGUUGUCCGGAAUUAUUGGGCGUAAAGAGCUUGUAGGCGGUCUGUCGCGUCUGCUGUGAAAAUCCGGGGCUCAACCCCGGACUUGCAGUGGGUACGGGCAGACUAGAGUGUGGUAGGGGAGACUGGAAUUCCUGGUGUAGCGGUGAAAUGCGCAGAUAUCAGGAGGAACACCGGUGGCGAAGGCGGUUCUCUGGGCCUUACCUGACACUGAGGAGCGAAAGCGUGGGGAGCGAACAGG